Molecule: unclassified non-coding RNA, 309 nt
Filed under: plant metagenome
Description: partial contains 5.8S ribosomal RNA, internal transcribed spacer 2, and large subunit ribosomal RNA
Rfam family: 5.8S ribosomal RNA (bases 1-105)
Source: RNAcentral
GAAAUGCGAUAAGUAGUGUGAAUUGCAGAAUUCAGUGAAUCAUCGAAUCUUUGAACGCACAUUGCGCCCCUUGGUAUUCCAUGGGGCAUGCCUGUUCGAGCGUCAUUUGUACCCUCAAGCUCUGCUUGGUGUUGGGUGUUUGUCCCGUCUCCGCGCGUGGACUCGCCCCAAAGUGAUUGGCAGCCGGCGUACUGGUCCCGGAGCGCAGCACAUGUCGCGCAAACGAGAGCCUUGGUACGGCGGCGUCCAUAAGCCCCUCUCUCACGCUCUUGACCUCGGAUCAGGUAGGGAUACCCGCUGAACUUAAGC